Myzus persicae (green peach aphid) is the source of this 260-nucleotide long non-coding RNA. RefSeq lists it as uncharacterized. The record is from RefSeq and is a predicted model, not a curated record. Lineage: Eukaryota; Metazoa; Arthropoda; Insecta; Hemiptera; Aphididae. The transcript is spliced from 3 exons.
UUUUAGUGCAUAUUUAUAAAAAAGUUAGAGAUUUGGUCAUUGAAUAUGAGCAAAAAACCUGUGAAACAAAUUUGGGAGAAACUGUUUUUUGUGAAUAUUACAUUACACCAAAUGAAUAUGUUGCUUUUUUGAAUAGAGUCUUUAAAGUUAAAAAUCGUUCUUAAUGUUUUGUUUGAAUUAUAGUAAUUAUACUUUUUAUUAUUAUUUAAAUAUAAAUUAAAUUUUUGAUUUUCCUUAAUUGAUUAUCAGCUCCGGUGACA